AGCAGCCGCGGUAAUUCCAGCUCCAAUAGCGUAUAUUAAAGUUGUUGCAGUUAAAAAGCUCGUAGUUGAAUUUCGGGGUUAGUAGGUUGGUCAUGCCUCUGGUAUGUACUGGUCUCACUGAUUCCUCCUUCCUGAUGAACCGUAAUGCCAUUAAUUUGGUGUUGCGGGGAAUUUGGACUGUUACUUUGAAAAAAUUAGAGUGUUUAAAGCAAGCUAACGCUUGAAUACAUUAGCAUGGAAUAAUGAAAUAGGACGUUCGAUCCUAUUUUGUUGGUUUCUAGGAUUGACGUAAUGAUUAAUAGGGAUAGUUGGGGCAUUAGUAUUCAAUUGUCAGAGGUGAAAUUCUUGGAUUUAUUGAAGACUAACUACUGCGAAAGCAUUUGCCAAGGAUGUUUCAUUAAUCAAGAGCGAAAGUUAGGGGAUCGAAGACGAUCAGAUACCGUCGUAGUCUUGACCAUAAACUAUGCCGACUAGGGAUCGGAUGAUGUUAAUUUUUAAUGACUCAUCCGGCGCCUUACGG
Molecule: ribosomal RNA, 520 nt
Filed under: uncultured Glomus
Lineage: Eukaryota; Fungi; Glomeromycota; Glomeromycetes; Glomerales; Glomeraceae
Description: SSU rRNA
Rfam family: Eukaryotic small subunit ribosomal RNA
Source: RNAcentral